UACGUAGGGGGCAAGCGUUGUCCGGAUUUAUUGGGCAUAAAGAGCGUGUAGGCGGCUUUACAGGUCCGUUGUGAAAACUCGAGGCUCAACCUCGAGACGCCGGUGGAAACCGUAAAGCUAGAGUCCGGAAGAGGAGAGUGGAAUUCCUGGUGUAGCGGUGAAAUGCGCAGAUAUCAGGAAGAACACCCGUGGCGAAGGCGGCUCUCUGGGACGGUACUGACGCUGAGACGCGAAAGCGUGGGGAGCGAACAGG
RNAcentral lists this ribosomal RNA (253 nucleotides) under uncultured bacterium. RNAcentral's name for it is "partial 16S ribosomal RNA". It matches the Rfam family "Bacterial small subunit ribosomal RNA", at positions 524 to 776 of the family's 1533-position model. The record is from RNAcentral.